ACGCUGGCGGCAGGCCUAACACAUGCAAGUCGAACGCUCCAGCAAUGGAGAGUGGCAGACGGGUGAGUAACACGUGGGAACCUUCCCUUUGGUUCGGAAUAGCUCAGGGAAACUUGAGGUAAUACCGGAUAAGCCCUUACGGGGAAAGAUUUAUCGCCGAAGGAUGGGCCCGCGUCGGAUUAGCUAGUUGGGGGGGUAACGGCCUACCAAGGCGACGAUCCGUAGCUGGUCUGAGAGGAUGAUCAGCCACACUGGGGCUGAGACACGGCCCAGACUCCUACGGGAGGCAGCAGUGGGGAAUAUUGGACAAUGGGCGCAAGCCUGAUCCAGCCAUGCCGCGUGAGUGACGAAGGCCUUAGGGUUGUAAAGCUCUUUUGGCGGGGAAGAUAAUGACGGUACCCGCAGAAUAAGCUCCGGCUAACUUCGUGCCAGCAGCCGCGGUAAUACGAAGGGAGCUAGCGUUGUUCGGAAUCACUGGGCGUAAAGCGCACGUAGGCGGAUGUGUCAGUCAGGGGUGAAAUCCCGGAGCUCAACUUCGGAACUGCCUUUGAUACAGCACGUCUUGAGUCCGAUAGAGGUGGGUGGAAUUCCUAGUGUAGAGGUGAAAU
This 608-nucleotide ribosomal RNA is filed under the name uncultured soil bacterium. RNAcentral's name for it is "bacterial SSU rRNA". It matches the Rfam family "Bacterial small subunit ribosomal RNA", at positions 33 to 687 of the family's 1533-position model. The record is from RNAcentral.